ACUGCAGUCGACGGUGACGACGGGGCUUGCUCUGUCUGAUCAGUGGCGAACGGGUGAGUAACACGUGAGUAACCUGCCCCCGACUCUGGAAUAACCGUGGGAAACGACGGCUAAUACCGGAUAUGAGACGCACGGGCAUCUGUGUGUCUGGAAAGAUUUAUCGGUCAGGGAUGGACUCGCGGCCUAUCAGCUUGUUGGUGGGGUAAUGGCCCACCAAGGCGACGACGGGUAGCCGGCCUGAGAGGGCGACCGGCCACACUGGGACUGAGAUACGGCCCAGACUCCUACGGGAGGCAGCAGUGGGGAAUAUUGCACAAUGGGCGCAAGCCUGAUGCAGCGACGCCGCGUGAGGGAUGAAGGCCUUCGGGUUGUAAACCUCUUUCAGCAGGGAAGAAGCGAAAGUGACGGUACCUGCAGAAGAAGCGCCGGCUAACUACGUGCCAGCAGCCGCGGUAAUACGUAGGGCGCAAGCGUUGUCCGGAAUUAUUGGGCGUAAAGAGCUCGUAGGCGGUUUGUCGCGUCUGCUGUGAAAACCUGAGGCUCAACCUCGGGCUUGCAGUGGGUACGGGCAGACUAGAGUGCGGUAGGGGUGACUGGAAUUCCUGGUGUAGCGGUGGAAUGCGCAGAUAUCAGGAGGAACACCGAUGGCGAAGGCAGGUCACUGGGCCGCAACUGACGCUGAGGAGCGAAAGCAUGGGGAGCGAACAGGAUUAGAUACCCUGGUAGUCCAUGCCGUAAACGUUGGGCACUAGGUGUGGGGCUCAUUCCACGAGUUCCGUGCCGCAGCAAACGCAUUAAGUGCCCCGCCUGGGGAGUACGGCCGCAAGGC
RNAcentral lists this ribosomal RNA (829 nucleotides) under Cellulomonas sp. RODAV4. Its description in RNAcentral is "bacterial SSU rRNA". It matches the Rfam family "Bacterial small subunit ribosomal RNA", at positions 53 to 894 of the family's 1533-position model. Lineage: Bacteria; Bacillati; Actinomycetota; Actinomycetes; Micrococcales; Cellulomonadaceae. The record is from RNAcentral.